RNAcentral lists this ribosomal RNA (650 nucleotides) under uncultured marine bacterium. RNAcentral describes it as "bacterial SSU rRNA". It matches the Rfam family "Bacterial small subunit ribosomal RNA", at positions 86 to 771 of the family's 1533-position model. The record is from RNAcentral.
UCGGAGCUAGCGGCGGACGGGUUAGUAACGCGUGGGAACGUGCCCUUCACUGCGGAAUAGCCACUGGAAACGGUGAGUAAUACCGCAUACGCCCUUCGGGGGAAAGAUUUAUCGGUGAAGGAUCGGCCCGCGUUAGAUUAGAUAGUUGGUGGGGUAACGGCCUACCAAGUCUACGAUCUAUAGCUGGUUUUAGAGGAUGAUCAGCAACACUGGGACUGAGACACGGCCCAGACUCCUACGGGAGGCAGCAGUGGGGAAUCUUGGACAAUGGGCGCAAGCCUGAUCUAGCCAUGCCGCGUGAGUGAUGAAGGCCUUAGGGUCGUAAAGCUCUUUCGCUGGGGAAGAUAAUGACUGUACCCAGUAAAGAAACCCCGGCUAACUCCGUGCCAGCAGCCGCGGUAAUACGGAGGGGGUUAGCGUUGUUCGGAAUUACUGGGCGUAAAGCGCACGUAGGCGGAUUAGUCAGUCAGAGGUGAAAUCCCAGGGCUCAACCCUGGAACUGCCUUUGAUACUGCUAGUCUUGAGUUCGAGAGAGGUGAGUGGAAUUCCGAGUGUAGAGGUGAAAUUCGUAGAUAUUCGGAGGAACACCAGUGGCGAAGGCGGCUCACUGGCUCGAUACUGACGCUGAGGUGCGAAAGCGUGGGGAGCAA